AUGAGGAGCAGCAGGAAAGGUCGUGGCCUGGUGUUGAGGGGUUCACUGUUUCAUCUCAUUCCUGUGGGUGCCAGAACUUAUCCAAAGGGAAGACUCAGUGUCUCUAGCAAUAGCAGGUCAGAGACAGAAAGUGUCCCAGAGAAGCAGGAAGGAUUGUACACCAUGGACACGGUGUAUGGUUUUAUAGUAGUGCCUCUCUCUCUCUCCCUCCCUCUCUCUCCCUCCCUCCCUCCCUCCCUCCCUCUCUCUCUCUCUCUCUCUACCCCCCCCACCCUCUUUCCCCUAGAUUUCGUGUUCCUGUUAAUGGAAAAUAUCGGUGGUGUAAGUUCCCCUGGAUCUCCUCAUCUUCAUGGAGCCUUGGGAGGAGCCUGAAUCACUGAUGGAAUUGGACUGUGCAUGGAGAUGGUUGAGCAAGAUGAGGGUAAGUGCCGGGGCAUGGCCAGGUCAUACUGGGAGACAAUGAGCAGCACUGAUGCAGACAAAGAUAAAGUCAACAGUUUGUGCUUCAGCAUCAAAAACUCAAACCAAGCCAGGCGCGGUGGCUCACGCCUAGAAUCCCAGCACUUUGGGAGGCUGAGGCGGGUGGAUCACGAGGUCAAGAAAUCAAGACCAUUCUGGUCAACAAGGUGAAUCCCCGUCUCUACUAAAACUACAAAAAUUAGCUGGGCAUGGUGGUGCGCGCCUGUAGUUUCAGCUACUCGGGAGGCUGAGGCAGGAGAAUUGCUUGAACCCAGGAGGCGGAGGUUGCGGUGGGCCGAGAUCGUGCCAUUGCACUCCAGUCUGGGUGACAACAGCGAAACUCUGUCUCAAAAAAAGAAAAAAAAAAUCAAACAAAAAAGGAAUUUGCUUUUAGUAAUAAGUAUUUUUCUAUUUACAUGAGAAUUUAAUCUCAAAUCAUAAAAAUAGUAAGUCCAGGGCAUAAAACCUAAACCAUAGCUCAUAGUUACUCUUUCUUAAUGGAGGUAUCAGUAAAAUCUUCUUCAUAAAACAUACAUUGUGGUUAUAAAAAGGCAAAAGUUGACCAGGUGCAGUGGCUCAUGCCAGCAGUCCCAGCACUUUGGGAGGCCGAGACGGGUGGAUCACGAUGUCAGGAUAUCAAGACCAUCUUGGCCAACAUGCUGAAACCCUGUCUCUGCUAAAAACACAAAACUUAGCCAGGCAUGGUGGCACGUGCCUGUAGUCCCAGCUACUUGGGAGACUGAGGCAGGAGAAUCACUUGAACCCAGGAUGCAGAGGUUGCAGUGAACUGAGAUUGUACCACUGCAUUUCAGCCUGGUGACAGAGUAAGACUGUCUCAAAAAAAGGAAGGAAGAAAAGCAAAAUUCUUAGUGAAAAUCAUAGGUGUACCUUAGAAGAGAGAAUUAAAUAUAGUCAAGGGAAGACCAAGUCUCAUAGUUCUCUUGUAUAUUCCAAAGUUCCAGGGAAAUGCCAGGUAACAGAGGAUAUUUCCCAUGCUGUUAAAGCAAGGUUGCAGACACUAAUGAAUUCUGGGCCCAAUACUCCAGGAGGGCACACCUCUGUCCUGGAAAAUUGUACAGGAAUGAAUACUUUUCCUUUGACUCAUUCUGGUUAUUCAUCCAGGAUCACAGAAACUAAACAAUGGAAAUAUGGCCAAAUUCAUGAUUUGCUAACCCUCUUCUCAGGUUUCUUACCUGACUCUUAGGAUAACAGCAUUACUUUGAAGCAUAUGAUGAAGAUAUGCUGUCCAAAUACGUGCACGGUUUUGAGCAAAAUGCCUGAUACAAAUUGGUCAACAAACAAUUACUGGAUGAUGAUAUGAAUAUUUACUGAAUGACAUGGAUCCUAUGAAUAACUGUGGAAUAAUUGUUGUGAUUGCUUUUAUUAGCAGUGCUCAAAACUCAUCUCUGUGUGACCUUGCAAGUAAGCCACAUAACUGUGAACCUGCAGCUUCAUCAGUUUUAAAAUGAAGGAACGUGACAGAUUUUCAUUCUGCCACAGAAUGUCAGGCCUCCCAGACACCAGAACAUACAUUUACGUAAAGCCUUUGAUAUAUUUCCACGCAGUAUCCCUACAGGUAGUUGGAGGAUGGUGGGGGCUGCAGAGAGGCACGCUUUCCAAUGGGAUUGAGGCAGUCCUUCUUCCUUGACUUUACAUGAAUGCUGGGCAGCCCAGUGUCACACCCAUUGCACCCUCAACUCAGGCAAGCCCAGCAGCCAAACAUAGGAGACUUGGGCUACAGAACAGUCUUCCAAAUCCCAGGCUCAGAAAACCGAGGUGGAGAUGACGGCUGAGAAAGUGAGGGGGUGGUUCAGGGGAUCACUCUUCCCUACUCGUUCCUCUCAUCUCAAAUUCACUUUCCAUUGCACAGCAACACUGAGGACCACCAACCACCCCUGACCAUCACCUUGAUCUUGCCAUGUUUGGUUAGUGGGAUGCACCCACACAUCAGUGGUGUUAGACCAACUCAAAAAUAUCUGUCAAACAGUGUUUUCGUAAGAACCGCUCAUGGCCCUGUUAUUUUCAAUAUAUGGAAAAAAUGAAAUGAAAACAACAAAAUCAUACCAGGUUUCCAAGACUUCCCAAGAUAGAUGGUCACACAUGCUUUCAGGAGAUCUCUAUAGAAAUGGUUUCAAUGAUGCGACACCUUGAAAAGAGCUCUUCUGGGACUAGAAUGACAUCUAUAAGUGACAAGUAUGAGAUGUAGUGUUCACUCACAUUAAAAAACAGAAUUUAAGGCUGUUUUUUAGAGGUAGCUUUGUACAUAGGUACGUCACACUGGUCUUGAUUGUAAUGAAAAGCCUCUACUGCC
This 2770-nucleotide long non-coding RNA is filed under the name Callithrix jacchus (white-tufted-ear marmoset). Its description in RNAcentral is "lncRNA (ENSCJAG00000075839.1)". Lineage: Eukaryota; Metazoa; Chordata; Mammalia; Primates; Cebidae. The record is from RNAcentral.